GACGAACGCUGGCGGCGUGCUUAACACAUGCAAGUCGAGCGGUAAGGCCCUUUCGGGGGUACACGAGCGGCGAACGGGUGAGUAACACGUGGGUGACCUGCCCUCAGCUCUGGGAUAAGCCUGGGAAACCGGGUCUAAUACUGGAUAUGACUCCAUGACGCACGUUGUGGGGUGGAAAGCCUUGUGCGGCUGAGGAUGGGCCCGCGGCCUAUCAGCUUGUUGGUGGGGUGAUGGCCUACCAAGGCGACGACGGGUAGCCGGCCUGAGAGGGCGACCGGCCACACUGGGACUGAGACACGGCCCAGACUCCUACGGGAGGCAGCAGUGGGGAAUCUUGCGCAAUGGGCGAAAGCCUGACGCAGCGACGCCGCGUGAGGGAUGACGGCCUGGUG
Molecule: ribosomal RNA, 392 nt
Filed under: uncultured bacterium
Lineage: Bacteria
Description: bacterial SSU rRNA
Rfam family: Bacterial small subunit ribosomal RNA
Source: RNAcentral